This 1025-nucleotide long non-coding RNA is filed under the name Numida meleagris (helmeted guineafowl). RNAcentral describes it as "lncRNA (ENSNMEG00000014814.1)". The record is from RNAcentral. Lineage: Eukaryota; Metazoa; Chordata; Aves; Galliformes; Numididae.
UGAGUGAGAUGUCUUGGUGACCAUGACACAAACUUAGACUCUGUCAACAUUUCAUUCAUUCUUCCCCUCCCCCCCCCCCCUUAUUUUUCUCCUCAUUAUCUUACUGUGAAGAAAUGGUAAAGCUAUCUCCAUACCUUUGUUAUGCAUUUCUUGUAUCAACAGGUGUUAAAGAAAAUAUUUUUUUAUUUUGCAAGCUCACUGAAGUCCUCCGUUUCCUGAAUUUAUAGUGCUUGACUCGGGAUAAAGCAUCCUUAGCUAAUUUUCACCCUUGCUUCCCUCUCUCCCACAGACACAUGCACAUUACAUUUCUAUUUCUAUUUUAAUGUAAUUUCCUUCUCGAGGAACAUUUUCCCAAACAAUUUCUUAAGCUCCUCAAAUGAAAUGCUGUACUGUGCUAGAGAUAUAACAUUUGGUCUUCAUAUUCCCCAGGACAGAAGUGAGACUGGUGAGGCCACAGAGAGGAGCUGGUGAGGACCUCCCACUGCUGCCUAUGGGACUUAGGACCCUGGGCCUUGUGUAAAGAGCAGUGAUGGAUGCCAAGGACCCAGCCAGAAGUGGGCAGGGGCAGGAGCAUCUCUGGUUCCUUUCCUCAGACUCCAGACACUGCAGUGUGACAGCUAAACCAAGGAGCAUCGGAUGCAAUGGAAUUGCUCUACAAGCAACCUUGCCAAAGGCCCUUUUGCUGCACAAAGCUGGCUCUAUCUUUGUAUAUUGAGGGAACUAAAUCAAUGUUAAAUGCUUGGCUCUUUUCACAGGACAAUGACCAGGACCUAAGCUGCGUCCUUCCUAUUUGAUUGACACUUGAAACGUUGAGUUGGAAUCAGCCAGAGGCACUGCUACAAGCUUGAAGCCUCUGCUGGGGAUAACAACUGGUGACAUCUGCAGAAAGGCCGACAAAAGGCAGUUGAAAGCCGUGUUUGUUGCUUUCCCCUCUCAGAUCUCCUCUCUUUCAUGGAGCUCCUUACUUGCUUUAAUAUUAUGAUUCAGCACCUGGCUCUUUUGAACCUUGCUUUAAACUUCAAAAG